This 478-nucleotide ribosomal RNA is filed under the name uncultured bacterium. RNAcentral's name for it is "partial 16S ribosomal RNA". It matches the Rfam family "Bacterial small subunit ribosomal RNA", at positions 28 to 523 of the family's 1533-position model. The record is from RNAcentral.
GACGAACGCUGGCGGCGUGCUUAACACAUGCAAGUCGAAUGGUAAGGCCCUUCGGGGUACACGAGUGGCGAACGGGUGAGUAACACGUGGGUGAUCUGCCCUGCACUUCGGGAUAAGCCUGGGAAACUGGGUCUAAUACCGGAUAGGACCACUGCCUGCAUGGGUGGAGGUGGAAAGCUUUUGCGGUGUGGGAUGGGCCCGCGGCCUAUCAGCUUGUUGGGGGGGUGAAGGCCUACCAAGGCGACGACGGGUAGCCGGCCUGAGAGGGUGACCGGCCACACUGGGACUGAGAUACGGCCCAGACUCCUACGGGAGGCAGCAGUGGGGAAUAUGGCACAAUGGGCGCAAGCCUGAUGCAGCGACGCCGCGUGAGGGAUGACGGCCUUCGGGUUGUAAACCUCUUUCAGUAGGGACGAAGCGCAAGUGACGGUACCUACAGAAGAAGGACCGGCCAACUACGUGCCAGCCGCCGCCGUAA